This 506-nucleotide ribosomal RNA is filed under the name uncultured bacterium. Its description in RNAcentral is "partial 16S ribosomal RNA". It matches the Rfam family "Bacterial small subunit ribosomal RNA", at positions 29 to 523 of the family's 1533-position model. The record is from RNAcentral.
AGUGAACGCUGGCGGUAGGCCUAACACAUGCAAGUCGAACGGCAGCACAGGAGAGCUUGCUCUCUGGGUGGCGAGUGGCGGACGGGUGAGGAAUACAUCGGAAUCUACUCUGUCGUGGGGGAUAACGUAGGGAAACUUACGCUAAUACCGCAUACGACCUACGGGUGAAAGCAGGGGACCUUCGGGCCUUGCGCGAUUGAAUGAGCCGAUGUCGGAUUAGCUAGUUGGCGGGGUAAAGGCCCACCAAGGCGACGAUCCGUAGCUGGUCUGAGAGGAUGAUCAGCCACACUGGAACUGAGACGCGGUCCAGACUCCUACGGGAGGCAGCAGUGGGGAAUAUUGGACAAUGGGCGCAAGCCCGAUCCAGCCAUACCGCGUGGGUGAAGAAGGCCUUCGGGUUGUAAAGCCCUUUUGUUGGGAAAGAAAUCCAGCUGGCUAAUACCCGGUUGGGAUGACGGUACCCAAAGAAUAAGCACCGGCUAACUUCGUGCCAGCCGCCGCAGUAA